UCACGGAUUUCGUUGGAGACAACAACAUAGAGCAUAUAAAAUCUCUACACUACAACAAAACUAGCACUCCUCCUAGGCAAAAUUAACAAUAGUAAACUCAUGAGGCUUCAGAAGUUUAUCAUUCACUCACUUGUUCAAAGCCAAAAAUAGCUU
This 153-nucleotide small RNA is filed under the name Arabidopsis thaliana (thale cress). RNAcentral's name for it is "ATSL106850". The record is from RNAcentral. Lineage: Eukaryota; Viridiplantae; Streptophyta; Magnoliopsida; Brassicales; Brassicaceae.